RNAcentral lists this transfer RNA (71 nucleotides) under Candidatus Pacearchaeota archaeon. Its description in RNAcentral is "tRNA-Gly". It matches the Rfam family "tRNA". Rfam says of the family: Transfer RNA (tRNA) molecules are approximately 80 nucleotides in length. Their secondary structure includes four short double-helical elements and three loops (D, anti-codon, and T loops). Further hydrogen bonds mediate the characteristic L-shaped molecular structure. tRNAs have two regions of fundamental functional importance: the anti-codon, which is responsible for specific mRNA codon recognition, and the 3' end, to which the tRNAs corresponding amino acid is attached (by aminoacyl-tRNA synthetases). tRNAs cope with the degeneracy of the genetic code in two manners: having more than one tRNA (with a specific anti-codon) for a particular amino acid; and 'wobble' base-pairing, i.e. permitting non-standard base-pairing at the 3rd anti-codon position. Lineage: Archaea; Nanobdellati. The record is from RNAcentral.
GCGCUAGUCGUAUAGUGGCAGUACGCCUCGUUGCCAACGAGGUGGCCCGGGUUCAAUUCCCGGCUUGCGCA